Non-coding RNA from Oncorhynchus mykiss (rainbow trout), 3369 nucleotides. The record is from RefSeq and is a predicted model, not a curated record. Lineage: Eukaryota; Metazoa; Chordata; Actinopteri; Salmoniformes; Salmonidae.
UUGGUCUGCAAAUGCUCGUGAGGGCGCUCUGAUGCUGUCUUGGCCGGCAGCCUUACGAGGGUCAACACGUGGAGACCGUAAUAAGCAUGUAACCCUUGUUGUCCUCAGGGGCUCUCAUCGGCAGCUUAGUCGUUUUGCUUGAAACGUGAGAAAAGGGUGUUUACCUCGUCCGGUAGAGCGGUGUUGGUGUCGGCGACGUGACGCAUUCUUUUUGUAAUCUGCGAUUGUUAGAAGCCCUGACACAUGUGCCUUCAUCCAAAGUUUUCACAUUCUAUGAUCAGAUUUCGUUGUUGGCAAUUACCUUUAUCUUAUGUCAACAUGGAUUUGAUUCGGGUGAAUGUAUUAUUAUUAUCCUGGCAAUCUUUCAUAGAUAGGUGAGGUCACAGUUAAACCUUUACUUAGUGUUUUGCCAGAGGUUAUAAUGCCCUACAUAGAAGUAUCUGACCUGACUUUGAACAAAGACACAUUUCCCUCCGUACCACAGGACGGCGCAGUAGAGCUUUGAUCAACAUAACUGUGCUCUUUUCCUCCGGAGAGAACCUAAGCGUCACCAAAGAUUUGUUUAACUAACCCUCGUUGUUCUAGCUCUGGCGUCACGUGACAAAGCUGCAAAAUCAAAACAGUUCUCUCUAUUUAUCUGUAUAAACAAUGUAACCAGCUCCUGAAUUCAUUUACUCAUGUAAGUUAAAUAAUCAAUAGGUCCAUCUCUCUUCCAAUAACAUUGGCGAGAGAAGAACUGCACACGUGUUAAUGAAUAAACGAACAAGUGAGCUAGCUAGCUAAUUCAUUGACAGAUGUUCUGAUAAUGCCAGUAACCAACCAAAGAAAAGCAACAUCAGGAGAGAGAUGAUGCGGUGUUCUGCUCUUUGACUUUACAUCUAAUGCAGCAACUGCCUUAAUAUUACUGGAGCAAUAGUAGUAUAGCAAUCAUAUCAGUAGUAUAGCAGUGUAAUAACUAGUGUUAUGCAGGUGCCCUUUCUGUUCAUUAGUUUGUCUGUAAUGUGGAAACUGUGUGUUUGUGGCUACUAGCUAUAUGUCAUUAUACUGUUGUGACUGUGUUGUGUUGUUGCUGUGUCAGGUGCAGGGCACCAACGACAGCAGUGUGCUCAGUAAGGUGUCUGCUGUAGCUCAGGGUUACUUCCUGGAUGACUACCUGAAGCAGUUUGUGUUUAAGGAGUUUAGGAGAGCCCCUCUCAUCAACAGGUCGCUAAGAUAGAAACAUAACAUGUGCACACACACACACUCAAUAGAUUUGUAGAGUUAGAAGGAUCUUCCUCUAUGUAUUUGUUUGUGUUUGUACUGUAUCUCUGGUGCAGGGAUUACUAUGGGGUUACUAUGUACGCUGGAGAGCUGUAGACCACUGUGUCAAGCAGUUUCUGUGGCUGACAGAAAGCUGCCCCAGGAGACAGGUAAGCUUAGCCUGGUCCAAGGUCUGUUUGUGCUGUUUUGCCAAAUCCUCCCCUGUGACGACCCCCAUAGUGUCCCCUCCCCCAAGGUCAGCGCUGAGCCCUCUCUCCCUGGUGGUGAAGCCCAUGCAUGGGGAGCUGUGUGUGGAGGGUCUGAGGAUGGCCUCUACCUUUACUGGGUCCUGGGCUGGUGCUGCUCAGUGGGGGUUCAGGCAGAGUGGGUAGAGGGGCUGUCCCCUCCUCCCAGGUGUCCGACUGUAUCACACUGUACCAUCUGUCCCAAACUGUCCAUCUGUCCCUCGGUGGGGAGCUGUGGCGUUUCCACUCCACCCAAUCAGAACCCUUUUCAGAGUGAGCUAUGACCCUUGUGACCUGCCUGACCCAGUUGCACCUGACAACCAGGCCUCACUGAGGCUCCCCUUGAAGGAGAUAGGCUGUGCUGGCAACCUGCCUCAACCAAGACGGAGGCACACUGCGACCAUACUGAGGCAGGAAGGUCAGAACUUCCUUUCUGUGUUUGAAGGGCAGAACGAGGCUGAGGAUGCACUGUAUCUUGAUGACCAGCGUUGGACCGAGACUCUUGACGGGUCAACAAUGAUGGCUCUGAUUGGUGGAGGAGGAAACUGCUUCGCCUUUGGGACUCAUCACAACCCUCACCCUGUCACUGUGGACCUCAAGCCUGUUCUAUAACAAUGGUUGCUAGAAGUAUUCUUUGUGAGGACAUUUUUGUACAGUAUCAACUUGGUAUUGGAAACCUGAGUCGACCUGUGGCAGUGGAACUGAAGCAUCGAUAAGCUAUCUUGACACCUGUAGAACUCAAGGUCAUGGUGACAUUCUCUUAUUGUUAUUAGUUCCUUUGUUAUUCGGGCGAUUCCAACAGAAAAGAUUGCUCCCUCUAGCUUUCACCAAAAUGAGUCAGUGGCUGAGUUACACAUACAGAAGUACAUCUUCCUUUGGGUUGCAGCAGUUCAGGGCCAUGGGCUACCUUCCAGCCCUACACACUCACUCACACAGACACAUAAAAAAGUCCCAACAUAUCAGAUCUGCUUACCAGACACAUUUUUAUUUCAGGUGAAACAAAGGACUCACAGUAAAAGGAUAGGACUCACAGUAAUAGGAUAGGACUCACAGUAAUAGGAUAGGACUCACAGUAAUAGGAUAGGACUCACAGUAAAAGGAUAGGACUCACAGUAAAAGGAUAGGACUCACAGUAAAAGGAUAGGACUCACAGUAAUAGGAUAGGACUCACAGUAAUAGGAUCAAAUAACAUUUUAUUGGUCACAUCCACGUGUUUAGCAGAUUCCUUCCCCAGUCGUCAUUGUUUUUGUUUCAUAUCUGUGUGUUGUUAAUGUUUCGGUUCAUGUUCCGUUUAUUUGAUUAAAACACUGACUCUCAGGGCACAGCGUUACAGAAUGACGACUCAACAAAGGGAAGCAUCAGGGAGUGUUUUUUCUGUUUUUGUGUUGAAGGCGAUGUUGGGUCCGGGUGUUGGAGCUGGAGCUACCUGGGAGGUCUCAGCCGUUUGUUAACUGGAUGAACAGGUCCCCAUGCCUCAGCCGAGGCUCUUAGUCCUCAGCCGGUUCGUCAGGUUUCUGCGCCUCAGCGGAGGCGACCGAUCCGCUCCGGAUCCCCGGGAUCGUCCCUGUGGUUGGAGCCGACUGCGCCGGGUAGGGGAUACUGUCACGUAUGAUCUCUCCGGCGCUCUAGGUCGUCAUGCUCCCACGCCUUAGCAGAGGUGACCGGUCCGCUCCUGAUCCCUGGGAUCCUCAUCUUGUCGGCGUCCUGCGGCUGGAGCCACGCGUCGGGUAGCGGGUACCUGUGCUCCUUCUCCGGCCACCAGGCUGCUCGUUUAUGGCGCACACCUGUCACCAGCACUACGUGGAUUUGCGCAUAAUGACACUCACCUGGACUCCAUCACCUCCUUGAUUACCUGCCCUAUAUAUGUCACCCCCUUUGGUUUCUU